GUAAAAAAAAAAAAAUUCCAGCUGGGUGCAGUAGCACUUUUCUAUAAUCUCAGUGCCCCAGGAGGCUAAGGAAGGAGGAUCACUGAAAGAACUGAAACCGAGAUAUGGAGUUACCCAUAGGAGAAGUCCGUUUAUUCCAGUACAGCAGAGCUUUUUAUCCAGGGUAGGCAGAGCCCCUUAGGACAGGAGGCAAAUUCUCAUUGGAUUACAGUCAUUAGAAUGGUUUUGUCAGUCGCCCAUUGGUGACUUAUUGGCACCUUAAUCUGCAUAAAGUGGGAAACAGACCCAGAAGAGAAGCCUAGUCAGCACCAUCUUGGGGCAGGUAACCCAAUAUUUUCCCCUUUUUAGUUUAAUAAUGGGUGUAGGGUCAGAGUUCGUUCUGACUGCUUCCUGCUGAGCAGGGGCGUUGCCAGGAAGGGGCGGGGAGAACACUGGAUUACCCUGAGGUUAAUCCCCAAAGCAGCACCAAAAAACUAAAGACUUCUGAUGGGGCCAAAAAAAGUACCCUGAAACCAUAGGUCCUGGAUCACGUCCCACUAAUCUUCCUCAGUGUUCAUGGCGAAGGGCAUCCAAAAAGGUUUUCCAUGGAUCUGCCAUUUAGCAGGCCGUGAGUUGAGUGGUAGAAGACUGAUCAGGAUCUUCUGAGGCCAGUAGUUGGUAAUUCCUAAGAAGGAGCUGGUUAAAAGAUUGGUUAGAGAUUUUUGCUAUCUGAUUUUGAGCAAAUUUAAUCAUACAAGGGAGAAAGAGGCAGGCCAACAGAAUAAUGGAGAGCGGUCCCAUUAUUGGCCACAUCCAUGUCAAGAGGGGUGACUGGAGCCAGAAGGAAAAAGAAGAGGUUUGGGAUGUCUUCCUUAAGCCUGCUGCCAGAUCAUUAAGUUUAUUGAUGUUUUGUUAAGUAUCCAUUAGGAUCUGGAGCCAAGAGUAAGACAUUGUGAGUGAAGAAGAGGCUGAAGAGGAAGAGGAGUCUCGAAUUGCCUAUAUGAUAACCUCUUCUGAAUGCAGAAUGUCAGAGGACACUCGAGAAACUUGAGAUAGAAGAAGGCGGUGACCCCUGCAGCCCAUUGUGGGUCCCAUGGGUCCUUGAUGGUGAUGUUAUAUUUUUGAAUCUGGCUAACAUAGGAGCAUAUUCCCAUGUUUAAUUGGCCUGAAUAUGGACAUCCCCCAUAUACCUCUGGCCACCAACGGCAUUGUUCAUCCCAUUGAUCAUAUAGGAAACAAAGGUAUGGCCUUGAGGACUGCUGAAUAAGUUUUGUUGAGGCAGGUAAGGAUAAGUACUCAGUGUCAGAGCAACCAUGCAGGGGGCAGUCUGCCGUUGCGUUUAGGGCUGUAGUUUUAGUAUUUUUUUAAGUAUAGGUUUGUCUAGCCUUAAAUCUCCAGACAUAAGGGGAAGAAGAGACCAUAAGAAUAAGGCUUAUGAGAGUUAAGAAAAGGAGCGGCUUAGAAACCCAGGGGUUCAUUUUCCAAUAUGGGUUCAAGAAGCGCGACCUGAGACAGAUGGAGCUUAGACUGCGCCGCAUGCAGAUAAAUCCUAGGUCGGCUUGAGCCUGGAAAUAUGAAUUCAAGGAGUUAAUUGGUUAUUAGGGAGCACUAGCCUGGGUGCAGUUGGAAUACAUAAUACAACUUGUGUUGGACCUUCCCACUUUGAUAGUAAGGGACCCUUGUCUCCUGGCAGAUUAAAGAGGGCAGAUUGGCCAGGUGACAUGGAGAGAGGGAUCUGGGAGGUUUCCAGAUCUGGAAGAAGCCAGUCCUGAUGUUUCCAGAUCUCAGCAUGGAGAUGAGUAAGAAGUGGUAACGCAUAGCGACUGGGGAUGGGCCAAGAUGAUGGGGUAAGGCCCGGAGAAGGAUUGGGCUUCCAUAUAUGACCUCAAAGGGAGAGAGAGAUGACGGCUUCUUAGGUAGGGCUUGCAGGAGAAGGGCUAAAGGAAGUAGUUUAGUCCUUUAAGUCCAUGACAAAAAAGUGGGUGGUUACGGUAGGAAUUUGUGACAAAAGGGUAUAGGAGUUGGGAACCAGCGGGUGGAUGGGUUUAAUAGUGGAAUUAAUGAGGUGAUGAUCUUGAACCAGGCGGUAAGUGCCAUUAGGCUUUUUUACUGCCAGUAUGGGGGUGUUGAAUGAUGAAUGUGUGGGCCUAAUGUAUCCUUAUUAGUCUUUUAUGAUUGGCUCUAAGCUAAUGAGAGCUGCUGUAGAUAAAGGAUAUUGGGGCUGGCUGGGGAAGUAGGAGGGAUCCUUAAGUUGCGCCAAAAUGGGUGGGCAAUUUACCCUGGAUGGACUUUGAAUGUCCCAUAUUAUGGGAUCCACCAGGUGUAGGAAAGCGUCUUUCAGAGUGGGCUUCUAUUGAUGUAUCACAUUGAGAGCAGAAGGGGAGCGUAAAAUCUUCAGGCAGAAGUGUUAAAAGGAAGGAGGGCAUGGAUGAGAUUGGCAAUUGGACGGAGAGUGUAGCUCGGAGAGUGGAAAUAAUAUCUUCCCAGAAGGGGUACAAGACAUUGAGGCAUAACCAAGAAAGAAUGGGUGAAUGGGAACUUUUCUAUGGAACAAGUGGGGGGGUUUAUGAGGAAUGAUGGUCUUCCCUCCUACCCCAUCAAUAGGAGAAGAUGAAGGGAACGUGGGACCCCAAUAUUCCCUCAGGACUGAAAACGUGGCUCUGGUAUCUAUGAGGAAACUAAUAGAGUGCCCUUCUACAUAAAUUUGUACCCUAGAUUCUUGCCUGCUGAUGGUAACAGUCGGGGAGGAGGACCCAGGACCUCAUCAAUCAUUGAGUGCAAGACCCAGGAGGUCAGAGCCAGGGUGUUUGACCGCAUUCCUCCUUCGGGGAUUGGGACAAUCCGACCCCCAACGGCCCAUCUGUUGGCACUUCGGACAAGGCGUUGGAGUCCUCGGGGUUGGGCAGGCCUUUGCCCAGUGACCCUCUUUACCGCAUUUAAAGCAGGCACCCAGAGGACUCUUACCCCAGAAGGGCAGUGGUCAUUGAGCUUGUGGAGCCUUUUGUAAGACCGGGGCCAGCAUUUGAAAUUUUUGGUGUUCAAAUUUUUCAGAUCUCUGAUGCUUGAGGUGCUCAGCCUCCUUAUCCCGGUUAUGAUAUACUUUAAAGGCUAUGGCCAAAAUUUCGGUCUGAGGAGUUGCAGGAUCCUGUUCCAAUUUCUUCAAUUUAGCUUUUAUGUCGGGGUAGCUUUGGGAUAGGAAGUACGUCAUAAGGACACGUCUCCCAUCUGGAGACUCAGGAUCUAAAUUUGUAUAUUGUUGGAGGGCUUUUGUAAGGCACUCCAGGAACUCUGAAGGAGUCUCUUCCCUUUUCUGAAUAACUUCCUGAAGUUUUUGAAAGUUGACUGCUUUUCUAGAGGCCUUCUUAAGGCCUACAAUAAUACAUGUUGCAAAUUGGUCCCUCAAUUGGAGUCCAGCCACAGUAUUAUAGUCCCAGUUCAGUUCCUGGUCUGGGACCGCAUGGGGACCAGUUAGGGUGAUUAGGGUUAACUAGGUGGGUCCCAUCUGCAUGGGCCGGAGCCAAGUCCUAUACCCUUCUACAUUCCCCAGGGAGUAAUGUAUUGGCCAGGAUCAUGUAUAUAUCUUGGUGGGUGAGACUAUAGGCUUGUAAGACCCACUGAAAUUCUCUAAUAUAAGUAGUGGGGUCAAUGGUGUAAGAUCCCAGCCUCUUUUCAAGCUGUGUGAGAUCGGACAUAGAGAAGGGAACAUGGACAUGCACAAUGCCUUCAGAUCCAGCCACUUCACGUAAAGGGGCCAUAGUAAGGGGUUGACUAGAAGGAUUAUGAAGCGUGAGAGAUAGGGUUGUGGGGGGGGGCUGAAAGAGUGGGCUGGGGGUGAAGGGGAAAGUGGAGGUGGGGCAGAAGGCUGGGGUGCAGAAGAUGGUGAAGGACGAUAAGGGGGUGGUUCCUCAGCCAGGUCAAAAGAAGAUACAAAAGAAUCACCAGGAGGUGAGGGGACAGGCUUAUAGGCUAAGAGGACUUGUUGAGGACUGCAUGUGGAGGAAAGUUUGGGAUGGGUACGAAGAAGGGAAAAGGCUUCAACAUAAAGGAUCUCCUUCCACUUUUUUGAGCGCUCGCAGUAGUUGAACAAGUCACGAAGAAUUUGGGGAUCUAAGGACCCUUCAGCAGACCAUUUACUGAGAUUGUCCAAAGGAUAGUAUAGCCAGUCUUGAGUGCAAAAUUUGAUUAAUAAUUUAGGCUUAAUGUCUAGAGCAAAGGACAGACAGUUCAAAUUGUAAAGAAGGCAUUUUAGAGGGGAGUCAUUCGGAAGGGAAGAAGAGGCCCCCAUGGUGAGGACAGAGGAGAACAAGGAAAGUCAAGGAGAAGAAACUCUGGACCGGAAUUACAAAUGGGACCCAGUUGGGCGUCCCCAAGAGGUAUUUCUGUUUGACGGACUCAUUAGAGUGUGAAACUGGAGGAGCAGUUGGGUCAUCACCCAAGGGCUCUUCCCGUAGGGUGGAAAUGCCAGAGGUCUCGGAGCACUUGGCACUAGGCAUUUGUCGGAGAAGGAGAGGAGAGAGAGAGAGAGAGACUGGGAAGGAGGGGUCUGUUCUUCCCUCUGAUUUCGUUAGGGUAAGGCAGGUACUGUCUUGGGAAAUGACCUAGGAGACCACUGUGGUCAUGAAGACCUAGGUGGGGUGAAUUCUCCUCCCACAGCCAAGCGUCGGAGUUGCCUAAUGAUCAUGGUUCUCUGCAAUAGCAAGACCCAGGUGGUCACUUCAUAGGGGGCCCCACUCACCUAGAGAUCGGCUGGUGUUGGUCCGGAAGAAGCAAGCCCUCGAGAAGGUGGAUGAGGAGGAGAAACUCUGGUAGGUUUGAAUUGGGAGGGGUCCUAAGGGAGAGAUUGUCCCCUCCCCAGGAGAGAAAGAACUGAAACUGAGACAUGGAGUUACCCAUCUAAGAAGUCCGUUUAUUCCAGUACAGCAGAGCCUUUUAUCCAGGGUAGGCAGAGCCCCUUAGGACAGGAAGCAAAUUCUCAUUGGAUUACAGUCAUUAGAAUGGUUUUGUCAUUUGCCCAUUGGUGACUUAUUGGUGCCUUAAUCUGCAUAAAGCGGAAAAUGGACCCAGAAGAGAAGCCUAGUUGGCGCCAACUUGGGGAGGGUAACCCAAUAAGUUUGGAGCCCUAAGCAACGUAGUGACCCUGUCUCAAAAUAAAAAGGACUGGGGAUUUAACUUGGUGGUAAAGUGCCCUUGGGUUCAAUUCCCAGUACAAAAUAAAAACAAAACCAAAAAUAAUUCCCCUACUCCAAAAAAUAUUCCAACCUUGACACACACACACACACACAUACAUUAUGCUGAACCAUUUGAAAGCAAGCUGCACAUUAUAACAUUUCUGCUUCAAAUAAUUCAUUAUUGUAUCUCCUUAUAUAACAUUUCUGCUUAGACAUAGCAUCAUGAUCACACCAAAGAAAACAAACUAUUAUUUCAUAAUAUAAUAAAAUCUACAAAUUUAUGUGAUUUAUAACUUUUGCAAAAUGAAAAUGCAAAACUUUGUAACAACAAAAGAAAAUAAUCUCUUUUUUAAAAAUCAGAUUUUUAUAAUCAACAUGAAUUGUUCCCAUCAAUUUUAUUAUUCAAGGGAUUUAGGAAAGCUGCUUUUACUGGCUGCUCUCCUGGGCGUUUCAGGUUGAAAUUUAAAGUGUUUUUAAGUCAAACAGCUCAUAUAUUCUGUGAAGUAUUGGUGGUAGUAGUAUUGUUUGCUGUAGGUAUUGGCUGGACAAGACAGGAUACUGUAUAAUCUUUAUAUUCAAAAUUAUUUCUGAUAUCUCAAAUAGUAUUUGCUGCUGCUGUUGUUGGAGAUUGAACUCAAGGGCUCAUGCAUAUGUUCUACCAGUGAGUUACUCUCUCAGCCUCAUAUAAUUUUUAAAGCUAGAUGGUACUUGGUAGUGUGUUAUGUUAGCCCUUGUAACACUUUUGAGUAUGACUAAAAUUUUUCAUAAUAAAAAAUGUAUGUAUGUAUUUAUGUAUGUAUACAUCACUAUAAUAAUAGAUUUGACUCAUGACUUCUACUAAGACAAAACUGUGUUUACGAUAUCUUGGGAAAGUUAAAAUUUAGAUGUGAAAACUGUGUGUUUGCAUGGACUUUUAGAAGAAGAAACAUAGCAGUUAAGUCAAACAAAACACAGAAAGAAAGAUUGGUUUAAAAAUUUGAAUGGAUUUUGAGAAAAGGCUGCUUUAUUCUUUGGGAGUUUUGUUUUUGUAAACAUUUCAUUUUUUGUGGGAUGUGAAUCAUGUGUUGGAAUCCCCUGAUUUAGCUGUGGCAUAACUAAGUCUAGAAGGUUUGGGGGAGGCUCUGUUUUUAAAAUUCCCCACUACCAAUCAUGAUUAUGGUUACAUGAGAUUUGUGUCUUGAAAAAAGAGAUGUGUCCCCAAACUCUGGAAUUUUUAACCAUGUACUUUGUAAGCUCAUCUUUGUUCUGUUUGAGCCAUAAUGUUAUGUCUGCUUUUACCACAAUCAUAUGGAUAAGGGACUAGCAGGCCAGGCCUUCUUCCAUCAUGAAACAGGGUAGAAUCUGCUUUUUUUUUUUUUUUUUUUUCUUUUGGUACUAGAGUUUGAACCCAGAAGUGCUUAAACACUGAGCCACGUCCCCAGCCCUAUUUUAUUUUGAGACAGGGUCUCUCUAAGUUGCUGAGGCUAGUCUCAAACUUGGGAUCUUCCUGCCCUAGCCUCUUGGGUUGCAGGAUUACAAGCAUGGGCCAUCAUGCCAAGCUAAAAUCUUGCUUUUUAUAGUCAGUCAAAAGAUCAACCAAAUUCCUUCUUCCUUGCUUCAUGAGGAACUCAAAGAUAAAUAUCCUAGCACUUCUUUUAAAAAGUAGUGGUAAUAAUGCUGUAUUUUGUAUGGGAAAUGUAGUAAGAAAAUUUGGGGGAAGAGUUAUAGUGAACCUUUGAAAACUCUUAGGGUUAAAAAUGUUGUACAGGACUAUGGGUAUAUAUAGCUCAGUAGUAAAACACCUGCCUCACAUGUGUAAGGCCUUGGGCUGAUUCCCAGCAUCUCACAUGCAAAAAAUUAGUACUGUUAUGCAAACAUAAAACAUACAGAUUUUUAAUAUGCUCAAUGACAUAUUAAGAGUAAAGUUAUUAAUUAUAGACUAUUAAAUUCAAGGCAGCCAAAUAUACUUGAAUUUGCAUAAUAUUUAUUAUUUUAGAAGUAAGUUGUUACAUAACACCUUCUUUUUAUUGAGCAGAAAGUGACAUUUGUUAUUCCUUUCUUUUAUAUGUAAGUCUUAUUUCAUGAUAAUAUCUUUCAAUCUGAGCAACAUAAUUCAGUACUUCUUGAUUAUAUCAAUAUUAUAUCUAGUUGGCUUAAAAUGUCUUUAUGAAGCAGCUUUUCAUCUGCUAAUAUCAUCACUAUAACCCGUGUCCUCUUUCCUUCUUUUUUUUUUUUUUUUUGGCGAGGAUAUUGAGCCCAGGAGUGCUCUAGUACUGAGCUAUAUUCCCAGCCCUUUUUAUUUUGAGACAAAUUGCCCAGGCUAGCCUCCAAUUUGUGAUCCUCCUGCAUCAGCCUCCUGAGUAGCUGAAAUAAUAGGUAUGCACCACCACAUCCAGCUUAAUGACUCUUUAUUUAAUAUGUAGUUAUUAUAGUUAAGAUAUGAGGUGUUCCUCAAAAGCUCCUGUGUUAAUGCAGGAAUAUUCAGAGAUGAAAUGAUUGGAUUGUGAAAACUGUAACCUAAUCAGUUCUUCCUAGUUUGAAUGAACUAAUUGGGUGGUAACUAUAAGCAGGUGGAUCAUGGCUGGAGGAGAUGGGUCAUUGGGGGCAUGUUCUGGAAGGGUUCAUCUUCCCUGCAGCCCCUUUUCCCUUCCUUUUCUUUGUUUCCUGGCUAUUAGAAUCAGAACAAUUCUCCUCCUCAACACCUUUCUGCCAUGAUGUUCUUAUCUUGGGCCCAGAGCAAUUGACUCCACUGACUAUGGACUAAAUCUCUGAAACGGUGAGCCCAAAUACACUUUCUCUUCUCUAAGUAGUUGUUCUUAGGUAUUUUGGUCACAGAGACAUAAAAGCUGAUUAACACAAUAGUCAAUUCAUUAUCAUUGAACUCAUGGCCAACGCUGCUAUAACACAUGCCUGGAAAAAAGCUUAUCUAACACAUGUGUUUUCUCUGUAACAUCUGAGUCUUUUUGUACUGGACAAUACUUCAUCAUUAUGCUUAGGAUCAUUUUAAACAGCAACAAAAAACACGAAAUAUGAAAAACAAUGACACCAUAUAGACUCUAAAAAGGACACCUGUUUACAUUAUGAGAGCUGCAACUGGAAGGCAGAGAGUUGAAACUGGAAGCCUUGUUUUACCUCAGCUUGGAAUGCACUCAUGGAGCAACUCAACAUUUUCACUGCUGUGAGUGAUCAUGCCUGCAAAAGUGCCAUAAAUACUGAUUUGGGGAAUAAAAAAAUUUAACAUUUUCAAAUAUGGAAUCUGUGAAUAAUGAGGAUUGACUGUAUUUGCAGUGCCUUUGCCAAGUUCUAUAUGUUCAAAGAUGAAUAAGACUUAACUGUUAAUGCUCAACAAGCUUAAAAAUUAAUCUCAGGGGAGUGAGGUGAACAAAACUAAUAUAAUACAGUGAUGACCACUAUAAUUGAGCUAUGAGCAAGAAUAAGAUUUUUCAGGAAAAAGCACAUAAUUAUCUCUUAGUAUAUAUCAUGGGAUAGUGAGAAGACUAAUUGACUUUGAAAUCAGGACUUGGCACCAGUUCUGGCUUUGCCCUGAAACAGCUGUGUGAUUGUAUUCAAGUCCUUUAACAUUUUGAGUUUUAGUCUAUUCAUUAGAGAUAUGAGGAUGGUAAUACCUAACUUCCAGACUACUAUAGUGACAAAAGAAUCCAAUACUGAACUUGGAAAAUAGUAUGUACUCAAUCAGUUACUUGGGUUUGCGGGGGGCAUGGACAGGGAAGUAAUGGUUCACUUUACAGAAGGUGACAAUCGGCUGUGUCUUGAAGCAUGAGGAAGGUGUCUAUGGGUGCACUGUUGUGAGAGUUUUGAGUUCUAAAGCCCUUUGUAUUUUUGUACUUUAAAUUCCUCUAUCUAUUCAAGUGAGGUGCUAUGAAUGUAAUAGUUACUCUGUUAUUAUGUAUUGACAGUUUGGUUGGUUGCGUGAGUAAAAGGGGAAGGAUAUCUUUGGUAUCUCUUAGUCACAUUUGCGCAGCAACACAUUCUUGGAACACUAUAUAUUAUUAGUCUUUGGAGAUUUAGUUUGUAGUAAUUUAACAGGAGAAAUCAUGUGCUUCAGCUAGGAGUUAUAUACUCCCAUAAGUUUAUUUUGAGUACAAAAGCAUGAAAGAAAAAUGAAGGGGUGUGUGUGUGUGUGUGUGUGUGUGUGUGAGAGAGAGAGAGAGAGAGAGAGAGGAGGCAGGAAUUCUUAAGGGAGAGAUAUUUGAUUUAACAAUAUGGAUAAAUCUUGGCAAUGUCAUAUUAAGUGAAAUAGCAAUUCUUCCAAGAAUAUAUGCAAAGAUAUAAAUAUAAUCUGGAGAAAUUAGGUGGCUCUGUAACAAAAGGAUGAAAGCUAAUGUUACUAACAUGGGGCCUCAGGAUGUGACUUACUAAGAAACUUGUAGCAUGGAUUUUGUUAUAUUCUUGCCCAAAAUGAAUCACUUGAAUCCAAUCAAAGGGAAACAUCAGAAGAACCAAAAUGAAGGACAUUAAUAAAAUACCAGGCACUGACAUGUUAAAUUAUCAGACUUUCAUAAUGGUAAGGUUGUGAGGAGCAAAGAAAGGUUGAGGAAAUGUUUAAGAUUAAAGAAGACUAAAGAGAUAAGACAACUGAGCACAAUGUGUAAUUCUGGACCGGAUUACAUACUUGGAAAGCCUCUAUUAACAAUAUGUUGGGACAACUGACAAAACUUAAAAAUAGACUAUAGAUAGUAUAUAAAUAUGGUUUCAAUGUUAAAUUUGAUAAUUGUGGUUAUAUAAGAAUUUCCUUGUCCUUAGGAAAUACACACUGGCAUAUUGAGAGAGAAAAGAGUCAUGAUAUAUAUAUACACACACACACACAUACAUACAUACAACCUAUUUGCAAGUGAUUUGGAAAAUAUUAAUAAUAUAUAAAUAUAUAUAACAUAUACAUAUAUGUAAGUAUCAGUAAAGCUAUGAGAGAGUCCUUGUAUUAUCCUUACAAUUUUUUGUAAAUAUGAAAUUAUAUCAAGAUAAAAUGUGACUUCAAAAAAGAUAUAGAAAAUAAGACUAAAACAAAAAAAAGGAGGACAAACAGAAUUAUAACUACCAAGAAACCCAAAAAUAUACAGUAAACCAAAUUAGUUAUAGUAGUUAGAUAGGAUGAAACUAUAAAAAGAAAGGAUGUAUGAUGCACAGGUUUUAGCAUGAUGGUGACCAUUAAUGGUGAAAGUGGGAUAACCGGAGAAUAUUCUUAUUCUUAUUCAAAAAAUCCUGACAUUCAGGAAAGAUGAUUAUUGAAACAAGUAAUUAGGAAAAAAAACACAAACCAAAUUAAAGAAGUCCGUGCAUGGAACCUGACAAAAAUAUCAAGAAAAACUUAAUGAACAUAACCUACUCAUUUCAUUUGAAGGCAGUAGACAAAAGGAAAAAUAAAAAAGUGAGAGAAAGAUGAGGGGCAGUAGGAAAGGGAGAAAUUGGAAAAUCUUAAAUCCUUUUAAGAAAAAAGGAAAAACAAAACUCUAGAAAAAAUAAACCGACAAACAAACCAGGAAAAAAGGUGUAUCCCAGAGAAGAUAAGAAUGGAUUAGAAGAGGCAGAAGACCAACGACUCAGAAAGCUGAAGCAGAAAAAAGCCCAAGGCGAACCUGAGAAACGUAAGAGGGACACCCUAUCUCAAAAGAAAAGUGUCAGCCAAAGGGCUGAAUAAAAAGAAAGGGGAAUGUAGCUAAACAGCACACCAAGGGCUGGCCUAAUGCAAGUCUGACACUUACACAGCUGGGGUUUUCCAAAAACUUGGAGUGUUGUGGUCACUUCUGGCUUCUUCAAUACUCCGGGCUAUUAAUUAGGAGGAACCACUAGAUUAACCCAUGGCCAUAAUCACCUACAAUAAAAACUCUAUGUGCA
This 10979-nucleotide long non-coding RNA is filed under the name Marmota monax (woodchuck). Lineage: Eukaryota; Metazoa; Chordata; Mammalia; Rodentia; Sciuridae. The record is from RNAcentral.